UAUGUACCCAGGAUACCUUUGAGGCCCGCAUAUAUCGACCCGGCCGCUGUGGACAAGAUGCCAAGCAGCGGACCUGCCGUGCGCAUCAAUUCCUGAAUAAUCCGCGCCCGGCGCCGGAGCUGAUCCUCCCCGACAUACGGCCCCAGGAGACGCGCGAUACGGUAGGCCGCGAUAUUCGGCCGGUCGACCUGCGAGAGCGAACUGGCCAGAAGUUGAAGUAUCAGAAUUCCCAGGAUGUUUCCGGUGAGGAACGCCAGCGCGAUGCUCGCCGAGUAUUC
RNAcentral lists this unclassified non-coding RNA (278 nucleotides) under Hevea brasiliensis (rubber tree). Lineage: Eukaryota; Viridiplantae; Streptophyta; Magnoliopsida; Malpighiales; Euphorbiaceae. The record is from RNAcentral.